GUGAGUCAUCGAAUCUUUGAACGCAUAUUGCGCCCUUUGGUAUUCUGAAGGGCAUGCCUGUUCGAGCGUCAUUAUCACACGAUCAAGCUUUGGCUUGUUGUUGGGCCCUUUGUCACCGGGUGACAGGUCCAAAAGAUAAUGACCGGUGUCGUACAGACUCUCUAUGCAACGAGCUUAUAAACAGCACGCAUCUAGUAGUCUGAUGGCCCGGUUGUCACCCUUUUACUUCUCAAGGUUGACCUCGGAUCAGGUAGGAAUACCCGCUGAACUUAAGCAUAUCAAUAAGCGGAGGA
Molecule: unclassified non-coding RNA, 293 nt
Filed under: Chaetothyriales sp.
Lineage: Eukaryota; Fungi; Ascomycota; Eurotiomycetes; Chaetothyriales
Description: partial contains 5.8S ribosomal RNA, internal transcribed spacer 2, and large subunit ribosomal RNA
Rfam family: 5.8S ribosomal RNA (bases 1-71)
Source: RNAcentral